Molecule: long non-coding RNA, 2470 nt
Filed under: Pelobates cultripes (western spadefoot toad)
Lineage: Eukaryota; Metazoa; Chordata; Amphibia; Anura; Pelobatidae
Source: RNAcentral
AAAACCAUUGUCAAGAUAAUUCGACUUUUCAAGAUCUGUUCUCAACAGAUAUCAACAUUAUACACUCAUUUUCUAUACUGUUAGGAUUUCCCUCAUAAUUGUAGAAUUUCUUCCAGUGUAUAUAAUUAUUGCUAUAUAGUUAUUUAUCAUUUAUAAGCAAAAGAGAAUUUGUGAAAUAUUCUAAGCUUGUCAACCCACACUGCACAUUUAUAUUUUAUUUUAAUUGGAGGAUUAAUAUUUUCAGACACCACAAAUGCUUUUUAUGAUAAUUAACAGUAAUACAAGGCACUCAGUUUUUAGAAGGUUUGUUAGAAACUUCUCUUCAGAGAGCCACGGGGCACAAACAUCCUUUUCUGUUAUUUGAAAGAAAUUGUCUCUGAAAAAUGAUCAGAAUAAAGCAAUGGAACAGAGUUAUUUUAAAAAAAAAAGUCUUGAUUUUGCACAAAUACUUCAUCAACAGUCUUGUGCAGUAUGAAUUGGAAUGCCAUACACUCAAAUGUAAGAUGAAAGGAAGGGGAGAAGCGUGGGGGAAAUGAGUGAAGAAUUAGAAAAUGUAUGAGAUAUCUUCUCUGGACUAAGAAAUUUAUUUAAAGCUGCUAUGUAGAAAAUUUGAUGUCAGGCCAAAAUGUUUGUCUCUGCUCUUAAAGAGUAACUAACAAAGGAAUUUAUAUUUCUGCACAUAGAACUGCAUGUCUACAAAUUCACUCAAUAUUAAAAAUAUCCACUGGAACGUAGAACUUUUUUUGCAUUUAAGUAUUCAGCAUGGGGGAUGGACUGAUUAUUAUAGAAUGACAAAUAUCUGAGCCUAGUUAGUACAGGUCAAAUAUGUAUAGAUCGAAAAGGAAUUAAGAAAUUAUUUUAGAGGUCAGUGAAUACACAUAGCAUUGCUCAAGAACCUGAUGAUAAAUUCCAUAUUGAUACCUAAUUAUCUUAACUGUAGAUAUUAGGUGCUAGACUUUGAAAAGAUGCAUUGUAGGUGACCCGAUUUAUUUAAUAUUAAUUAAAACCUAUUUAGUACACGUCAAAUAUUAAGGAAUAGAAAAAUAAUGAACAAAUUAAUAGGGGAGAGCAUGGAAUAAAAGGCACGGUUGUCUAGAAACCAGAUAGAAACAAAAUUGAAAUGGAUUCCCUAUUAUCUUGCUAUUGGGAAUAUUGAAGAUAAACCGAACUAUUUAAUAUAAAUGGAUAUGAUAUUAAGUUGAUGUAUUAAUGACCACUGGAAUUAGUAAAGCAUGGGACAAUUCUUUAAGAUGGAUUCGUUAACGUUGUCAGUUGACUGUUACAAGAGAAUGUAGACAAGUUUUAACCACAAAUUAAAUUUAGUCCAGCUGAAUUUAAUUUAUUUGUAAAUACCUUGUGGGAGAUCUGGAAUCACAUUUAAUAGUAAGAUCUUUUCUGAGGCUGCCAAAAAAAAAAAAACACGGGACUAAUGUAAAACGAACUUAAGGACAAAUUUAGUUGUAUGAUUUGUUUUUUUUAAACAAGUAUAUGUAUUUCAGAUAGCACUAUUUAGAUAAGUGUUUUUGUAAAUCUUCUUUUUAAAUAGACAAACCUUAUUUCUUAAGUUCUUAAAAUAGUAUUUGUGUUUUUCCUUUUUUGUUUUGUUUUUUGUUUUGUAAUAGUUUUUUUUUCUUUUACUUUAUUCAUUAAGUAGCUGCAAAGAAUAACUGCCACAUACACAUUGCUUAUUCUAGUGACAAGAUCUCAUUUAUAAUACAGUUGCACAUUGCGCAGUUAAAGAUUCCUGAAAAAUUAAAAGGAGCCAAAUGGAUGCACUCAUAGCAGUUAGCAUAAAUAUGAUAACUGUAUGGAUGCUUUUAAUAGCUUGUGGCUUAUUUCUGCAGGUUGAACUCACUAUUUUCCAAUGCCUACAGCAGCAAAGGGGUGCUCAGAUGCUGGGCAGUAAAACUGCACCAAUUUUUGCCUGGUUUUAUUGUAAUAAAAUGUCUAUGCUUCCUAUGCCAUUAGUGUCCCACUGUAUGUACAGCUUCAAAGGAACACAUUGGGAGCAUCAUUUUACCCUAUCCAAGGGUACACUAACUACUACAAUAUUUUACACAGCUUCAGAUUUUUGAAAUAAUGCAGUUAUAUGGAUGAUUUAGCAGUAGGAUACAUUUUGCAAUUUUUAUUUUCUUUGUAACAAAAAAAAUAUUGUAGAAUAGCUUGUAGUGUACAAUAGUAACGUGAUCCUUUCAUCCUUGUAUCUAACUUGUGGGCAGCAGUAUUUGAAAUCCUCUCGUAUCUUUCUGUGUGGUUUGUGAUAUAAAUGUACAUGAAAUUAAAUGCACCUGUCCUUUCAAUGUGUCUUAAUACUGAUCUGUACCUACUAUUAUAAAUAUGCUUUCACUCUUAUGAUAUCCAUGUAGACUAAUGUCAAUGUACUACACGCAAGUUUUAUACUCUGAUAUUUAUAUUGCUUUUCUUUCUUUGGAAAAAAUAAAAUGUUUUCUUCCAAAAAAAAUAAACUAAU